This 253-nucleotide ribosomal RNA is filed under the name uncultured bacterium. Its description in RNAcentral is "partial 16S ribosomal RNA". It matches the Rfam family "Bacterial small subunit ribosomal RNA", at positions 524 to 776 of the family's 1533-position model. The record is from RNAcentral.
UACGGAGGGUGCGAGCGUUGUCCGGAAUCAUUGGGCGUAAAGGGCGCGUAGGUGGCGGGACAAGCGUGCGGUGAAAGCCCGGGGCUCAACCCCGGGUCGGCCGUGGCAACUGUCGAGCUGGAGCACUGUAGAGGCAGGUGGAAUUCCGGGUGUAGCGGUGGAAUGCGUAGAGAUCCGGAAGAACACCGGUGGCGAAGGCGGCCUGCUGGGCAGUGGCUGACGCUGAGGCGCGACAGCGUGGGGAGCAAACAGG